GCUAGCUGAACAAAGACAAGAUGAUGAGAGCUGGAGCAACCAUCUGAUGGAAGGGGCCAUGAAUGGAAGCCAUGUUGAGGAAGCAGAACUGCAAGGUAGAAGGGGCUGGGGGCCCAACACUCUGAAGCCACCAUGUCUGCUUUGGACUGCUUCUAUCUGGGUUAAGCCACUGUGAUGGUGAUGCUGCUGAUGCAGGGACCACACUUUAAGAACCACUACCUCAGACCAUCUGAGAUCAUCCGUGCUUCUUACAGUAUAAACAUCUAUCCACGCUGAAGAAAUUGACAAGCUGAUGCUAAAAUGUGUAUGAAAAUGAAAGGGACCCAGCCAAAACAAUCUUGAAAAAGAACAAAGUUGGAAGACUUAUAUAUCUUGAUUUCAAAAGCUACUAUAAAGCCAUGAUAAUCAAGACAGUGUGGUCCUGACAUGAGGACAGACAUAUAGAUCAAUGGAAUAGAAUUGAGAGUCCACAAAUAAACCCAUGUAUUUAUGGUCAAUUGAUUUUCUGACCAAGGUUCCAAGACAAUUUAAUAGGGAAAGAAUAAGUCUUUUCAACAAAUAGUGCUGGGACAAAUAGAUAGCCAGAUGCAAAAGGAUGAGGUUGGACCUGUAGCUCACACCAAAUACAAAAAUUAACUCAAAAGGGAUCAGAAACCUAAAUGUUAAGAGAUAAAAGUAUAAAACUCCUAAGAAAAAAAA
Non-coding RNA from Equus caballus (horse), 699 nucleotides. The record is from RefSeq and is a predicted model, not a curated record. NCBI's taxonomy places the organism in Eukaryota, Metazoa, Chordata, Mammalia, Perissodactyla, Equidae.